This 253-nucleotide ribosomal RNA is filed under the name uncultured bacterium. RNAcentral describes it as "partial 16S ribosomal RNA". It matches the Rfam family "Bacterial small subunit ribosomal RNA", at positions 524 to 776 of the family's 1533-position model. The record is from RNAcentral.
UACAGAGGGUGCGAGCGUUAUUCGGAAUUACUGGGCGUAAAGCGCACGUAGGUGGUUUGGUAAGUCUGAUGUGAAAGCCCUGGGCUCAAUCCAGGAAGUGCAUCGGAUACUGCCAGGCUUGAGUACAGGAGAGGUGGGCGGAAUUCCAGGUGUAGAGGUGAAAUUCGUAGAUAUCUGGAGGAACAACAGCGGCGAAGGCGGCUCACUGGACUGUCACUGACACUGAGGUGCGAAAGCGUGGGGAGCAAACAGG